GACGAACGCUGGCGGCGUGCUUAACACAUGCAAGUCGAGUGGAAAGGCCCUUCGGGGUACUCGAGCGGCGAACGGGUGAGUAACACGUGAGUAAUCUGCCCUUGGCUUUGGGAUAACUACCGGAAACGGUGGCUAAUACCGGAUACGACAACCGUCUGCAUGGGCUGGUUGUGGAAAGUUUUUUCGGCCAGGGAGGUGCGCGCGGCCUGUCAGCCUGGUGGGGGGGUAAUGGCCUACCAGGGCUCCGCCGGGUAGCCGGCCUGGGAGGGUGACCCGCCACACUGGGACUGAGACACGGCGCAGACGCCUACGGGAGGCAGCAGGGGGGAAGAUGGGACAAUGGGCGGAAGCCUGAUCCAGCAACGCCGCGUGAGGGAUGACGGCCUUCGGGUUGUAAACCUCUUUCAGUACCGACGAAGCGCCGAUGAUGGUGGUGACGGUAGGUACAGAAGAAGCACCGGCCAACUACGU
This 471-nucleotide ribosomal RNA is filed under the name uncultured bacterium. RNAcentral describes it as "partial 16S ribosomal RNA". It matches the Rfam family "Bacterial small subunit ribosomal RNA", at positions 28 to 506 of the family's 1533-position model. The record is from RNAcentral.